UACGAAGGGGGCUAGCGUUGCUCGGAAUUACUGGGCGUAAAGGGCGCGUAGGCGGACAGCUUAGUCAGAGGUGAAAGCCCAGGGCUCAACCUUGGAAUAGCCUUUGAUACUGGCUGUCUUGAGUUCGGGAGAGGUGAGUGGAAUGCCGAGUGUAGAGGUGAAAUUCGUAGAUAUUCGGCGGAACACCAGUGGCGAAGGCGACUCACUGGCCCGAUACUGACGCUCAUGCACGAAAGCGUGGGGAGCAAACAGG
RNAcentral lists this ribosomal RNA (253 nucleotides) under uncultured bacterium. Its description in RNAcentral is "partial 16S ribosomal RNA". It matches the Rfam family "Bacterial small subunit ribosomal RNA", at positions 524 to 776 of the family's 1533-position model. The record is from RNAcentral.